CCCUUAGAUGUUCUGGGCCGCACGCGCGCUACAAUGAUGAAUUCAACGAGUUUAUAACCUUGGUUGAAAAGCCUGGGUAAUCUUUUGAACUUUCGUCGUGAUGGGGCUAGACCCUUGCAAUUAUUGGUCUCCAACGAGGAAUUCCUAGUAAACGCAAGUCAUCAGCUUGCAUUGAUUACGUCCCUGCCCUUUGUACACACCGCCCGUCGCACCUACCGAUUGAAUGGUCCGGUGAAAUCUUCGGAUUGAGACUUUGAUUUCUUCACGGAAACCGCUGUUUUAAAAAGUUGAUUAAACCUUACCAUUUAGAGGAAGGUGAAGUCGUAACA
This 329-nucleotide ribosomal RNA is filed under the name uncultured eukaryote. RNAcentral's name for it is "partial 18S ribosomal RNA". It matches the Rfam family "Eukaryotic small subunit ribosomal RNA", at positions 1470 to 1796 of the family's 1831-position model. The record is from RNAcentral.